Long non-coding RNA from Rhipicephalus microplus (southern cattle tick), 188 nucleotides. The record is from RefSeq and is a predicted model, not a curated record. Lineage: Eukaryota; Metazoa; Arthropoda; Arachnida; Ixodida; Ixodidae.
AGGUUAUUACUUGCAUUCUACUGGAAAUCGAAUCCUGCUUCUAAGUAUUUAAAGUUGCUUCCAUUACUCUUUGAAGCAAAGGAUCGCUGCGAGAAGCGGGGACUUGUCCACGCAUGGGCACGGGAUCACACUUGAAAAGUUGCGUAUUCGAAGGGGGAAAAAAAUAAAACAAAUUUUCAAGGUUGCAA